RNAcentral lists this ribosomal RNA (634 nucleotides) under uncultured bacterium. RNAcentral's name for it is "bacterial SSU rRNA". The stretch from base 1 to 542 matches the Rfam family "Bacterial small subunit ribosomal RNA", at positions 338 to 873 of the family's 1533-position model. The record is from RNAcentral.
CCUACGGGAGGCAGCAGUGGGGAAUUUUGGACAAUGGGCGCAAGCCUGAUCCAGCAAUGCCGCGUGAGUGAAGAAGGCCUUCGGGUUGUAAAGCUCUUUUGUCAGGGAAGAAACGGUGAAGGCUAAUAUCCUUUGCUAAUGACGGUACCUGAAGAAUAAGCACCGGCUAACUACGUGCCAGCAGCCGCGGUAAUACGUAGGGUGCAAGCGUUAAUCGGAAUUACUGGGCGUAAAGCGUGCGCAGGCGGUUUUGUAAGUUUGUCGUGAAAUCCCCGGGCUCAACCUGGGAAUGGCGAUGAAGACUGCAAGGCUAGAAUCUGGCAGAGGGGGGUAGAAUUCCACGUGUAGCAGUGAAAUGCGUAGAGAUGUGGAGGAACACCGAUGGCGAAGGCAGCCCCCUGGGUCAAGAUUGACGCUCAUGCACGAAAGCGUGGGGAGCAAACAGGAUUAGAUACCCUGGUAGUCCACGCCCUAAACGAUGUCUACUAGUUGUCGGGUUUUAAUUAACUUGGUAACGCAGCUAACGCGUGAAGUAGACCGCCUGGGGGAGGUACGGUCGCGAGAAGUUAAAACGUUAAAAGGUAAAGUUAGUACGGCGUGAGACGUGCCGACGGACGACGACGAGGGAGGUAGG